AUUGAACGCUGGCGGCAGGCCUAACACAUGCAAGUCGAGCGGAUGAAGGGAGCUUGCUCCUGGAUUCAGCGGCGGACGGGUGAGUAAUGCCUAGGAAUCUGCCUGGUAGUGGGGGAUAACGUCCGGAAACGGGCGCUAAUACCGCAUACGUCCUGAGGGAGAAAGUGGGGGAUCUUCGGACCUCACGCUAUCAGAUGAGCCUAGGUCGGAUUAGCUAGUCGGUGGGGUAAAGGCCUACCAAGGCGACGAUCCGUAACUGGUCUGAGAGGAUGAUCAGUCACACUGGAACUGAGACACGGUCCAGACUCCUACGGGAGGCAGCAGUGGGGAAUAUUGGACAAUGGGCGAAAGCCUGAUCCAGCCAUGCCGCGUGUGUGAAGAAGGUCUUCGGAUUGUAAAGCCCUUUAAGUUGGGAGGAAGGGCAGUAAGUUAAUACCUUGCUGUUUUGACGUUACCAACAGAAUAAGCACCGGCUAACUUCGUG
RNAcentral lists this ribosomal RNA (484 nucleotides) under uncultured bacterium. Its description in RNAcentral is "partial 16S ribosomal RNA". It matches the Rfam family "Bacterial small subunit ribosomal RNA", at positions 30 to 507 of the family's 1533-position model. The record is from RNAcentral.